GCUAAUACCGCAUACGCCCUACGGGGGAAAGCAGGGGACCUUCGGGCCUUGCGCGAUUGGAUGAACCCAGGUGGGAUUAGCUAGUUGGUGAGGUAACGGCUCACCAAGGCGACGAUCCCUAGCUGGUCUGAGAGGAUGAUCAACCACACUGAAACUGAGACACGGUCCAGACUCCUACGGGAGGCAGCAGUGGGGAAUAUUGCACAAUGGGGGAAACCCUGAUGCAGCCAUGCCGCGUGUGUGAAGAAGGCCUUCGGGUCGUGAAGCACUUUCAGCGAGGAGGAAAGGUUAGUAGCUAAUAUCUGCUGGCUGUGACGUUACUCGCAGAAGAAGCACCGGCUAACUCCGUGCCAGCAGCCGCGGUAAUACGGAGGGUGCAAGCGUUAAUCGGAAUUACUGGGCGUAAAGCGCACGCAAGCGGUUGGAUAAGUUAGAUGUGAAAGCCCCGGGCUCAACCUGGGAAUUGCAUUUAAAACUGUCCAGCUAGAGUCUUGUAGAGGGGGGUAGAAUUCCAGGUGUAGCGGUGAAAUG
RNAcentral lists this ribosomal RNA (531 nucleotides) under uncultured bacterium. Its description in RNAcentral is "bacterial SSU rRNA". It matches the Rfam family "Bacterial small subunit ribosomal RNA", at positions 162 to 688 of the family's 1533-position model. The record is from RNAcentral.